This 921-nucleotide long non-coding RNA is filed under the name Triticum aestivum (bread wheat). RNAcentral's name for it is "long non-coding RNA (TAES_LNC006641)". The record is from RNAcentral. Lineage: Eukaryota; Viridiplantae; Streptophyta; Magnoliopsida; Poales; Poaceae.
CCAUUCUCAAAGACAAGAAAAAUCUUGCAACCAGGUCCUAGCAAUUUGCAGCCACCACCCUCAGCUUCCCGUUUCCUUAUUUCCUCACAACCGGGAAUUCAUUCAUUUUUCAACAACAUAGUAACCCGGAUUCCUCCUAAAGUACUACUACCAGAACCACACUGGUCAAUAAAAAUGAAACUAGAACAAUUGCAUUGAAUCAUCUACACUAGCUACUAGUGCAACUUAAUUAGCAAAAAAAAAAGAUGAUUUGUUUCUCUCGUAUAUAAUAUACAACCUGGUUAAUGAAGUUUAGACCCAAACUGAAAAGGCAUGACAGCGCACUGCACUGAAAGAAAGCGGGAAAAUUAAAACAUCCUCAAGUUGUACGUAAACUAAGAACAAAAUGCACACAGUUGGCCGCAUGCUGGCUAGCACCAAACCAGUCUCGCCAACCAAUAGUAAAUCUGUAAUAGAAGUCACAAGGCAAGCUGGGAGAAACUGUACCGGCGCUGCCGCCGGCUGCUGCUCAAAGCGUGUCUCCGCUCCGAGAAGCCUCCACGCAGGACCUCCUCUGCCACGCACAAGGUGCUUGAUCGCUACGGCAGCCAUAGAUGCCGGCUGCCCACAUAUCCAUCUGCCAAGAAGAAAGAUCCUUAAAAUAGGUUGAGAGAAUGCACAUCACACAAAAAGAAUCCAGAUGGGUUUGAAAGCAUACAAAGGAAAAGUGGGGGAGGGGAUGGGGUGGAAGGAAGCUCACCGAGAAGGACGGGAGGUGAUAGCCGGCGGCUGGGACCGGCUGCCGGACGACGAUGAGCCACGCUGAGGGGCGGCUGGGGUGCACGGCCUCCGCCACGGCUGAUCGGUAUUGAUGCAUCAUCAGCAGGAACAUGUUUAGAUCUUCAUGUAUCCAUUAUAGAUGAGGCGAGGUGGGGAGCAAAU